This 616-nucleotide ribosomal RNA is filed under the name Streptomyces sp. EK-A11. RNAcentral's name for it is "bacterial SSU rRNA". It matches the Rfam family "Bacterial small subunit ribosomal RNA", at positions 47 to 681 of the family's 1533-position model. Lineage: Bacteria; Bacillati; Actinomycetota; Actinomycetes; Kitasatosporales; Streptomycetaceae. The record is from RNAcentral.
CUUANCAUGCAGUCGAACGAUGAACCCGCUUCGGUGGGGGAUUAGUGGCGAACGGGUGAGUAACACGUGGGCAAUCUGCCCUUCACUCUGGGACAAGCCCUGGAAACGGGGUCUAAUACCGGAUAACACCUUCUGCCUCCUGGCAGAAGGUUAAAAGCUCCGGCGGUGAAGGAUGAGCCCGCGGCCUAUCAGCUAGUUGGUGGGGUAAUGGCCUACCAAGGCGACGACGGGUAGCCGGCCUGAGAGGGCGACCGGCCACACUGGGACUGAGACACGGCCCAGACUCCUACGGGAGGCAGCAGUGGGGAAUAUUGCACAAUGGGCGAAAGCCUGAUGCAGCGACGCCGCGUGAGGGAUGACGGCCUUCGGGUUGUAAACCUCUUUCAGCAGGGAAGAAGCGAAAGUGACGGUACCUGCAGAAGAAGCGCCGGCUAACUACGUGCCAGCAGCCGCGGUAAUACGUAGGGCGCAAGCGUUGUCCGGAAUUAUUGGGCGUAAAGAGCUCGUAGGCGGCCAGUCGCGUCGGGUGUGAAAGACCGGGGCUUAACCCCGGUUCUGCAUUCGAUACGGGCUGGCUAGAGUGUGGUAGGGGAGAUCGGAAUUCCUGGUGUAGCGG